RNAcentral lists this ribosomal RNA (1374 nucleotides) under uncultured bacterium. RNAcentral describes it as "bacterial SSU rRNA". It matches the Rfam family "Bacterial small subunit ribosomal RNA", at positions 28 to 1381 of the family's 1533-position model. The record is from RNAcentral.
GAUGAACGCUGGCGGCGUGCCUAACACAUGCAAGUCGAGCGAACGGACGAGAAGCUUGCUUCUCUGAUGUUAGCGGCGGACGGGUGAGUAACACGUGGAUAACCUACCUAUAAGACUGGGAUAACUUCGGGAAACCGGAGCUAAUACCGGAUAAUAUUUUGAACCGCAUGGUUCAAAAGUGAAAGACGGUCUUGCUGUCACUUAUAGAUGGAUCCGCGCUGCAUUAGCUAGUUGGUAAGGUAACGGCUUACCAAGGCAACGAUGCAUAGCCGACCUGAGAGGGUGAUCGGCCACACUGGAACUGAGACACGGUCCAGACUCCUACGGGAGGCAGCAGUAGGGAAUCUUCCGCAAUGGGCGAAAGCCUGACGGAGCAACGCCGCGUGAGUGAUGAAGGUCUUCGGAUCGUAAAACUCUGUUAUUAGGGAAGAACAUAUGUGUAAGUAACUGUGCACAUCUUGACGGUACCUAAUCAGAAAGCCACGGCUAACUACGUGCCAGCAGCCGCGGUAAUACGUAGGUGGCAAGCGUUAUCCGGAAUUAUUGGGCGUAAAGCGCGCGUAGGCGGUUUUUUAAGUCUGAUGUGAAAGCCCACGGCUCAACCGUGGAGGGUCAUUGGAAACUGGAAAACUUGAGUGCAGAAGAGGAAAGUGGAAUUCCAUGUGUAGCGGUGAAAUGCGCAGAGAUAUGGAGGAACACCAGUGGCGAAGGCGACUUUCUGGUCUGUAACUGACGCUGAUGUGCGAAAGCGUGGGGAUCAAACAGGAUUAGAUACCCUGGUAGUCCACGCCGUAAACGAUGAGUGCUAAGUGUUAGGGGGUUUCCGCCCCUUAGUGCUGCAGCUAACGCAUUAAGCACUCCGCCUGGGGAGUACGACCGCAAGGUUGAAACUCAAAGGAAUUGACGGGGACCCGCACAAGCGGUGGAGCAUGUGGUUUAAUUCGAAGCAACGCGAAGAACCUUACCAAAUCUUGACAUCCUUUGACAACUCUAGAGAUAGAGCCUUCCCCUUCGGGGGGGGCAAAGUGACAGGUGGUGCAUGGUUGUCGUCAGCUCGUGUCGUGAGAUGUUGGGUUAAGUCCCGCAACGAGCGCAACCCUUAAGCUUAGUUGCCAUCAUUAAGUUGGGCACUCUAAGUUGACUGCCGGUGACAAACCGGAGGAAGGUGGGGAUGACGUCAAAUCAUCAUGCCCCUUAUGAUUUGGGCUACACACGUGCUACAAUGGACAAUACAAAGGGCAGCGAAACCGCGAGGUCAAGCAAAUCCCAUAAAGUUGUUCUCAGUUCGGAUUGUAGUCUGCAACUCGACUACAUGAAGCUGGAAUCGCUAGUAAUCGUAGAUCAGCAUGCUACGGUGAAUACGUUCCCGGGUCU